CCAUGCCCCCGGCGCCCCCCGGCAUCGCCAGCGCCGCUGCUCGCCAGCGCCGCUGCUCGCCACCAUGGCUGUCGUCCUCCUUCUCCUCCAGAUUGGGACGGGGAGGUCCUGAUCUAGUCGACCCCGAGCCCCUCAUCCAAACGUCGCGCGGCGCACCUCGCUGUCCCAUUUCGCGCAGAUUAAAAUAUUUUGAAGUCUGUAAAACUUUUGAAUUUCGGCAUCAUUGUAUUUUGCACGACCCAUAUCUCGUGAACCCUGUAUCGGAUGGAGAUGAAUUGUAUAUGAGAG
RNAcentral lists this long non-coding RNA (288 nucleotides) under Hordeum vulgare. Its description in RNAcentral is "long non-coding RNA (HVUL_LNC015733)". Lineage: Eukaryota; Viridiplantae; Streptophyta; Magnoliopsida; Poales; Poaceae. The record is from RNAcentral.